GCAGCCUGAUGCAGCGACGCCGCGUGAGGGAUGACGGCCUUCGGGUUGUAAACCUCUUUCAAUAGGGACGAAGCGCAAGUGACGGUACCUAUAGAAGAAGCACCGGCCAACUACGUGCCAGCAGCCGCGGUAAUACGUAGGGUGCGAGCGUUGUCCGGAAUUACUGGGCGUAAAGAGCUCGUAGGUGGUUUGUCGCGUUGUUCGUGAAAACUCACAGCUUAACUGUGGGCGUGCGGGCGAUACGGGCAGACUGGAGUACUGCAGGGGAGACUGGAAUUCCUGGUGUAGCGGUGGAAUGCGCAGAUAUCAGGAGGAACACCGGUGGCGAAGGCGGGUCUCUGGGCAGUAACUGACGCUGAGGAGCGAAAGCGUGGGGAGCGAACAGGAUUAGAUACCCUGGUAGUCCACGCCGUAAACGGUGGGUACUAGGUGUGGGUUUCCUUCCUUGGGAUCCGUGCCGUAGCUAACGCAUUAAGUACCCCGCCUGGGGAGUACGGCCGCAAGGCUAAAACUCAAAGAAAUUGACGGGGGCCCGCACAAGCGGCGGAGCAUGUGGAUUAAUUCGAUGCAACGCGAAGAACCUUACCUGGGUUUGACAUGCACAGGACGCCGGCAGAGAUGUCGGUUCCCUUGUGGC
This 637-nucleotide ribosomal RNA is filed under the name Mycobacterium sp. Ri2Ps_4856. RNAcentral describes it as "bacterial SSU rRNA". It matches the Rfam family "Bacterial small subunit ribosomal RNA", at positions 378 to 1027 of the family's 1533-position model. The record is from RNAcentral. Lineage: Bacteria; Bacillati; Actinomycetota; Actinomycetes; Mycobacteriales; Mycobacteriaceae.